GAAGUCCUAACUUAAUUAAAAUGCCUGAAUUGCAAUCAGGGGAUGUAAAAUGUUUACAGGCCUUCAGGG
This 69-nucleotide transfer RNA is filed under the name Cyrtodactylus cf. intermedius. RNAcentral's name for it is "tRNA-Ala". The record is from RNAcentral. Lineage: Eukaryota; Metazoa; Chordata; Lepidosauria; Squamata; Gekkonidae.